UACGUAGGGACCAAGCGUUGUCCGGAAUCAUUGGGCGUAAAGAGCGUGUAGGCAGCCUGUUAAGUCUUGCGUGAAAUCUCGGGGCUCAACCCCGAGCGGUCGUGAGAAACUGGCAGGCUAGAGUGCGGGAGAGGAGAGUGGAAUUCCUGGUGUAGCGGUGAAAUGCGCAGAUAUCAGGAAGAACACCCGUGGCGAAGGCGGCUCUCUGGAACGCAACUGACGCUGAGACGCGAAAGCGUGGGGAGCAAACAGG
This 253-nucleotide ribosomal RNA is filed under the name uncultured bacterium. RNAcentral's name for it is "partial 16S ribosomal RNA". It matches the Rfam family "Bacterial small subunit ribosomal RNA", at positions 524 to 776 of the family's 1533-position model. The record is from RNAcentral.